Molecule: long non-coding RNA, 257 nt
Organism: Pipistrellus kuhlii (Kuhl's pipistrelle)
Lineage: Eukaryota; Metazoa; Chordata; Mammalia; Chiroptera; Vespertilionidae
Exons: 3
Source: RefSeq, a predicted model, not a curated record
CAUUGGAUCUCCAGUACAAUAGCCUCCUCAGGGUUAUCCUAAUGGAAGGAUGCACAAACUGGACAAUGGUUUGGACCCGAUCCAGUAAUGAUGUGGGGAAGAGGUUGUGUUUGUAUCUUUCCAGAAGGAGCAGCGUAGCCAAUUUGGGUGCCAGAGCAUUACAUGUGUCACCACAAUAGACCCAGAGAAGCUCCUUGUCUCAUCGUCCAAAAGACUGAGAGUUGCCCUGAUGACAGAAAUACAGGAAAGGAAGAGGA